RNAcentral lists this ribosomal RNA (154 nucleotides) under uncultured eukaryote. RNAcentral's name for it is "partial small subunit ribosomal RNA". It matches the Rfam family "Eukaryotic small subunit ribosomal RNA", at positions 1651 to 1814 of the family's 1831-position model. The record is from RNAcentral.
CCCUGCCAUUUGUACACACCGCCCGUCGCACCUACCGAUUGAAUGGUCCGGUGAAGCCUCCGGAUUGCGCCGACCCCGUGUCGUGCGCGAGAAGCUGGCUGAACCUUACCAUUUAGAGGAAGGUGAAGUCGUAACAAGGUUUCCGUAGGUGAAC